Urocitellus parryii (Arctic ground squirrel) is the source of this 784-nucleotide long non-coding RNA. NCBI's taxonomy places the organism in Eukaryota, Metazoa, Chordata, Mammalia, Rodentia, Sciuridae. The record is from Ensembl.
UGUAGUUGCGCGGGGGCCGGGCGCGCGCCCGGAGGACGAGCGGCUGCCGUUAGCGUUCGCCACUGGCCAUUGCGCGCUGGCGGCCAGCCCUCGGACGGUGAGGCCCUUCUGGCCUCCUGCGCUGCCUCGGCCUGUAACCCGGAAUGGUUGCGCGGGAGGUCGGGUCAGGGGCGGAGGCCGCUGGGUAAGGGCAGGCGUCGGCAUCGCUCAGCUCCGGCCCGCCCAGGCUCACCAGCUGAGAAGCCCCGAAUGGGGCUCCUGGUCACCCGAGGGGCUCCCCCGAGGCGGAAGUCUCUGGAAAACAAAGGAAUUCAAGAGGAGCUUCUCUAAAACUUGACCCUGCCAUGGCACAACUCUCCAGUUUUCUUCACUGUCUCCAGAACAGGAGUUUUUCUGGGACAGAUGGCACAAGAGCACCAGAAUCCUCCGCCAGGGCAGACAUUGUUCAGAUGUGGAUCUUGGGAGCCUCACCCCCUUGGAGCUCACGGACUGAGAACAAGGAGUUCCCCUCCCAUCAGGGACUUUCUGAAAGAUGAUCCCCAUGAGGGACCUCACGCAGACCCUGUGGGCACUAGGAAAUGCCUCAGAAUGUUCCAGAACCUUCAGCUGGCAUUGGGGACUCUCCCAGAGGUGAAGCCAAGCAGUUCUCCUCCCCAAGACAAGACCUUCCAGCAGAAGAGAGAAGGCAGAUGCUGUGACAGGGACAAGAGGUAGCCUGCAGCCAGGUGAGCAUCCUCAUUCCAGGUCAGGAGCGUGGCACGGGCAGAGAGCGUUGCUUUCACAC